RNAcentral lists this ribosomal RNA (297 nucleotides) under Triticum aestivum (bread wheat). Its description in RNAcentral is "partial small subunit ribosomal RNA". The record is from RNAcentral. Lineage: Eukaryota; Viridiplantae; Streptophyta; Magnoliopsida; Poales; Poaceae.
AUGCCCCCGCACUUGGACGUGUCGAUCGCCUCCAGCAUCGUCACCACCUCCGCCAUCUCCGGCCGCUUGUCGGGGUUCGCGUCCCAGCACCGCUUCAUCACGUUCGCAAAGGCGCUCGGGCAGCACCGCGGGAUCUCCGGCCUCAGCAAUCAUCACAAAAUAACUGCAGGUUUGUUGUACCUGACGAACAACAGCGGACGUGACCUCCGAGAAGCUCAGGUCCGCGUACGGCAUGUCGCAGCAGUACACCUCCCAAAGGCAGAUCCCGUAGCUGUAGACGUCGCAUUUAUGUACUAA